UUAACAAAAACAUGUCUUUUUGAUUUUUAUUUAAAGUCUAAUCUGCCCAAUGAGGACAUUUUAAAUGGCCGCGAUAUUUUGAUCGUGCGAAGGUAGCAUAAUCAUUAGCUUUUUAAUUAAAAGCUGGAAUGAAGGAUUGAACGAGAGACUAGCUGUCUCAAUUUUAUUUUUUGAAUUUUAUUUUUGAGUUAAAAAGCUCAAAUUUUAUUAUAAGACGAGAAGACCCUAUAGAGUUUUAUAUUUUUUUUAUUAUUUAUGUUUUGGUUUUAUUAAACAAUUUAAUUGAUAAAAGUAUUUAGUUGGGGUGACUGAAAAAUUUUUUAACUUUUUCUUUUUAAAAUAUUAAUUUAUAGAUUUUUGACUUAUUAAAUUUUAGUUAUAAGAUUAAAUUACCUUAGGGAUAACAGCGUAAUUAUUUUUUAGAGUUCUUAUUGAAAAAAUAGAUUGCGACCUCGAUGUUGGAUUAAAGUUAAAAUUUGGUGUAGAAGCUAAAAUUUUUAGUCUGUUCGACUAUUAAAACUUUACAUGAUCUGAGUU
RNAcentral lists this ribosomal RNA (537 nucleotides) under Agrilus beauprei mourguesi. Its description in RNAcentral is "partial 16S ribosomal RNA". It matches the Rfam family "Bacterial large subunit ribosomal RNA", at positions 1804 to 2611 of the family's 2925-position model. The record is from RNAcentral. Lineage: Eukaryota; Metazoa; Arthropoda; Insecta; Coleoptera; Buprestidae.